GAUGAACGCUGGCGGCGUGCUUAACACAUGCAAGUCGAACGGUAAGGCCCUUCGGGGUACACGAGUGGCGAACGGGUGAGUAACACGUGGGUGAUCUGCCCUGCACUUCGGGAUAAGCCUGGGAAACUGGGUCUAAUACCGGAUAGGACCCUGGGAUGCAUGUCCUGGGGUGGAAAGCUUUUGCGGUGUGGGAUGGGCCCGCGGCCUAUCAGCUUGUUGGUGGGGUGAUGGCCUACCAAGGCGACGACGGGUAGCCGGCCUGAGAGGGUGACCGGGCACGCUGGGACUGAGAUACGGCCCAGACUCCUACGGGCGGCAGCAGUGGGGAAUAUUGCACAAUGGGCGCAAGCCUGAUGCGGCGACGCCGCGUGAGGGAUGACGGCCUUCGGGUUGUAAACCUCUUUCAGCACCGACGAAGCGCAAGUGACGGUAGGUGCAGAAGAAGGACCGGCCAACUACGUGCCAGCCGCCGCUGUAA
RNAcentral lists this ribosomal RNA (478 nucleotides) under uncultured bacterium. RNAcentral's name for it is "partial 16S ribosomal RNA". It matches the Rfam family "Bacterial small subunit ribosomal RNA", at positions 28 to 523 of the family's 1533-position model. The record is from RNAcentral.